GUGAAUCAUCAAAUUUUUGAACGCAAAUUGCACUCCCUGGUAUUCCGGGGAGGAAGCCUGUUUGAGGGGCGAUAGAAUAAAAAAUCGAGGCGUCGCCCUUUUUUUAAUGGUGAUCGCGUCGGAAUUGAUCUGUUUUUCAAAGGUUAAUUCAUGUCAAAGUGGCUUUAAAUUCAUCCAUCCGGUACUAUUAAAGCGUACUUAAGAGU
This 206-nucleotide unclassified non-coding RNA is filed under the name Glomeraceae sp. Its description in RNAcentral is "partial contains 5.8S ribosomal RNA and internal transcribed spacer 2". The stretch from base 1 to 71 matches the Rfam family "5.8S ribosomal RNA", at positions 84 to 154 of the family's 154-position model. Lineage: Eukaryota; Fungi; Glomeromycota; Glomeromycetes; Glomerales; Glomeraceae. The record is from RNAcentral.